Molecule: ribosomal RNA, 483 nt
Filed under: uncultured bacterium
Lineage: Bacteria
Description: partial 16S ribosomal RNA
Rfam family: Bacterial small subunit ribosomal RNA
Source: RNAcentral
AUUGAACGCUGGCGGCAGGCCUAACACAUGCAAGUCGAGCGGCUGAAGGGAGCUAGCUCCUGGUUUCAGCGGCGGAGGGGCGGGUAAUGCCUAGGAAUCUGCCUGGCUGCGGGGUAUAACGUCCGGACACGGGCGCUCAUACCGCAUUCGUCCUGACGGCGUACGUGGGGGAUCUUCGGAUCUUACGCCCUCAGACGAGCCUAGGUCGGAUUAGCUAGUUGGCGGGGUAACGGCCUACAAAGGCACCGACCCGUCACUGGUCUGAGAGUAUGAUAAGUCACACGGGAACGGAGACACGGUCCGAACUCCAACGGGAGGAAGCAGGGGGAAAUAUUGAACAAGGGGCGAAGGCCUGUUCCGGCCAAGCCGCGGGUGGGAAGAAGGUCUUCGGAUGGUAAAGCACUUUGAGUUGAGAGAAAGGGCAGUAAGUUAUUACCUUGCUGUUUUGACGUUACCAACAGAAUAAGCACCGGCUAACUUCGU